RNAcentral lists this ribosomal RNA (459 nucleotides) under uncultured bacterium. RNAcentral's name for it is "partial 16S ribosomal RNA". It matches the Rfam family "Bacterial small subunit ribosomal RNA", at positions 338 to 795 of the family's 1533-position model. The record is from RNAcentral.
CCUACGGGAGGCAGCAGUGAGGAAUAUUGGUCAAUGGUCGGGAGACUGAACCAGCCAAGCCGCGUGAGGGAUGAAGGUACAGAGUAUCGUAAACCUCUUUUGUCAGGGAACAAAGGCGGGGACGUGUCCCCGGAUGAGUGUACCUGAAGAAAAAGCAUCGGCUAACUCCGUGCCAGCAGCCGCGGUAAUACGGAGGAUGCGAGCGUUAACCGGAUUUAUUGGGUUUAAAGGGUGCGCGGGCGGUCUGUUAAGUCCGCGGUCAAAGCCCGGGGCUCAACCCCGGCCCGCCGUUGAAACUGGCAGUCUGGAGUUGGAGAGAAGUAGGCGGAAUGCGCGGUGUAGCGGUGAAAUGCAUAGAGAUCGCGCAGAACUCCGAUUGCGAAGGCAGCAUGCCGGCUCCACACUGACGCUGAGGCACGAAAGCGUGGGUAUCGAACAGGAUUAGAUACCCCUGUAGUC